AUGGAGUUAGAGUCAAAUCGAUUUAUCAAAAGGUCAAUAAAAAAAGCAUACAUAUGUGUGUAUGUAUAUAUACAUGGUGGAGCCGAAGAGAAGAUCAUGGAAAAUGGGGCACGGUUCCAAGGCAACUCUUUGUUCAUGGAUGUGGUCCAUAAUGGAGGGAAGAUAAUGAGAAUUUGGCUCGUAAUUAAGAAGCAGCAUGGUGCAGUCGAAAUUGGAAUCAGAGGACCUAUGGUGAAGAAACAAGCCCAGAGAUGUUAAGGGAAAGGAUCAAAGUCAUCCAAAUAAUCUGAUUGAUUUCCUAUCACCAUUUCUACUCCCCUCUACCCUAAAUAAAAAAAAAAUAUCUCAAAUGAUUUAUGGUUUA
This 364-nucleotide long non-coding RNA is filed under the name Monodelphis domestica (gray short-tailed opossum). RNAcentral's name for it is "lncRNA (ENSMODG00000030482.2)". The record is from RNAcentral. Lineage: Eukaryota; Metazoa; Chordata; Mammalia; Didelphimorphia; Didelphidae.